This is a long non-coding RNA of Coffea eugenioides, 1399 nucleotides long. RefSeq lists it as uncharacterized. The record is from RefSeq and is a predicted model, not a curated record. The transcript has 3 exons. Lineage: Eukaryota; Viridiplantae; Streptophyta; Magnoliopsida; Gentianales; Rubiaceae.
GGCGGCUAGGUUUUGGGCAUGAAAGCUUCGGCGAACUGGGAAAGAAAGAAAAAAGAAGAAGAGCGCGAGGGAUAAAAAGGAAAAGCAGAGGGAAAAGAGGAACCAGGCGGCGGGCUGAGCAAAAAAUGGAGGAAACAAGCAACGAAAAAAACACACAAAAGGGAAAUGGGGGUUUCAGCUUCAAUCAUCCGAUAAAAAUUUUUCCAAUCACCACUGCCAAAUUUCCCACCACCUCAACCGGCUGCCGGCUGCCACCACUCUCUUUCCACCCUCCGUCCUCAAAUUCCCCCCAAUUUCCCCAAACGAAUCCUCCACAAAAACCCCUCAUUUCCCAUUCUGCUCCUCCCCACUUCUAAUACAAGCCUUUUCUGCCAACGCCUCCACCACAGCCCUUCCCCUUUACCGCCGUCUCUAUCCGCGCCAAGCCCAAAAAAAAACUCAUCCUCAGCAACCUUUCUGUUCUCGGUGAAAAGGGCAAGAACAGCUACGACGUCGAGACUCUCAUCAAAUUCUUCUCCACCUGCUCCUCUUCCGUGGAUGGCUUGAGCAGCAACAGCAGCGGAGAUUUCCAACUCACCGAGCCGUCACCACCCAUCGGAUAUCCAUUGCCGCCUGCGAAUUUCACCAAGAAAGCCUUCUGGCAAUGAUUUUAGGCACUGGAGAAAGAAAAUAGUGAAGAUGGAAAUAAUUCUGAUUCUAGCAGUUAUUCUAAUGAUAAUGAGGACGAAAGGCCGGAGAGCAAAUCUAUCACCACCUCUUGGCCUCAAAGUUACAGAUUCUGUAUUUAGCAGUGAAGCACUUGGUUUCUUGAAAGCUGUUAUAUUUAUAUGGUACCAGAUAUUUAGCUUUACCUAUUCAUUUUUGGCUAGGAGAGAUAUUUAGAAAUGGGAUUGAAAUGCUUUCAUCAUUCAUAUUUUGAAGCUUCUUCAAGUAUUUUCAUUCUGUUUCGGCCAUGAAUAUCAAUAGUUUAUGAGUUUGAAUGGAUCCAGUAACAUCAGUAAAGGAUAGCUAUGGGCUUAAGGUAGGCUAUGUAAUGUUAUCAAAAGGCCAGAGCAUUUUAUGUCUUCCCUGGAUCCUUCUUCAGCUUAGCGGAACUUGGUAGGAUGCACUUAUAUUGCUGAGUACUGCCUCUAUUGAAAAGAUUUUCCUUCGUCAUGAGGGAUUGGUGGUUAAUCCCUGUGAACCAUCUUUGGAAGUGAAGGAGUUGUAUUUGUCCUUGCUACAUUUAUCAAUGGUAGAAACCAUAUUUUGGAUAUUACCUUUCAUCGAACGGCUGAUUCUGGAAGACUGAACCAAUUUCCAUAACUUGUGUGUCAUAACAUCUGGCCAGAACUAUACCAACUUUUAGACAGUCUGCUAGAUAUUUUGAUUGAAAUAAGUGCCAGAGAUCCACUCUCCU